RNAcentral lists this ribosomal RNA (548 nucleotides) under uncultured Nitrososphaerota archaeon. RNAcentral describes it as "bacterial SSU rRNA". It matches the Rfam family "Archaeal small subunit ribosomal RNA", at positions 325 to 879 of the family's 1478-position model. The record is from RNAcentral. Lineage: Archaea; Thermoproteati; Nitrososphaerota.
AUGGGGUGCAGCAGGCGAGAAAACUUUGCAAUGUGCGAAAGCACGACAAGGUUAAUCCAAGUGAUUUCUGCUAAAGAAAUCUUUUGUUAGUUUUAAAAACACUGAUGAAUAAGGGGUGGGCAAGUUCUGGUGUCAGCCGCCGCGGUAAAACCAGCACCUCAAGUGGUCAGGAUGAUUAUUGGGCCUAAAGCAUCCGUAGCCGGUUGUGUAAGUUUUCGGUUAAAUCCAUGUGCUUAACAUAUGGGGGAAAUACUAUACGACUAGGAAGUGGGAGAGGUAGACGGUACUCGAUAGGAAGGGGUAAAAUCCUUUGAUCUAUUGAUGACCACCAGUGGCGAAGGCGGUCUACCAGAACACGUUCGACGGUGAGGGAUGAAAGCUGGGGGAGCAAACCGGAUUAGAUACCCGGGUAGUCCCAGCUGUAAACAAUGCAAACUCAGUGAUGCGUUGGCUUAUAGCUAACGCAGUGCUGCAGGGAAGCCGUUAAGUUUGCCGCCUGGGAAGUACGUACGCAAGUAUGAAACUUAAAGGAAUUGGCGGGGGAGCAC